UACGGAGGAUGCGAGCGUUAUCCGGACUUAUUGGGUUUAAAGGGUGCGUAGGCGGGCUGUUAAGUCAGCGGUAAAAGCCCGGGGCUCAACCCCGGCGAGCCGUUGAAACUGGCUGUCUUGAGAUGUCGAGAGGUAUGCGGAAUGCGCAGUGUAGCGGUGAAAUGCUUAGAUAUUGCGCAGAACUCCGAUUGCGAAGGCAGCAUACCGGCGGCGAUCUGACGCUGAGGCACGAAAGCGUGGGUAUCGAACAGG
Molecule: ribosomal RNA, 252 nt
Filed under: uncultured bacterium
Lineage: Bacteria
Description: partial 16S ribosomal RNA
Rfam family: Bacterial small subunit ribosomal RNA
Source: RNAcentral